AGUUCGAUUAUGGCUCCAGAUUGAACGCUGGCGGGAUGCUUUACACAUGCAAGUCGAACGGCAGCACGGACGGUCUGGUGGCGAGUGGCGAACGGGUGAGUAAUGUGUCGGAACGUGCCUAGUAGCGGGGGAUAACUACGCGAAAGCGUAGCUAAUACCACAUACGCCCUUCGGGGGAAAAGCGGGGGGCCUCGCACUAUUAGAGCGGCCGAUAUCCGGAUUAGCUAGUUGGUGGGGGUAACGGCUCACCAAGGCGACGAUCGUAGCUGGUUUGAGAGGACGACCAGCCACACUGGGACUGAGACUGGCCCAGACUCCUACGGGAGGCAGCAGUAGGGAAUUUUGGACAAUGGGGGAAACCUGAUCCAGCCAUCCCGCGUGCGAUGAAGGCCUUCAGGUUGUAAAGCACUUUUGUAGAAGAAACGGCACGGGAUAAUACCCGUGCAACUGACGGUACAGAAUAAGCACCGGCCAACUACGUGCCAGCAGCCGCGGUAAUACACGUAGGAGUGCAAGCGUUAAUCGGAAUUACUGGGCGUGAAGCGUGCGCAGGCGGUUCGGAAAGAAGAAUGGCAAAAUCCCAGAGCUUAACUUUGGAACUGCAUUUUUAACUACCGAGCUAGAGUGUGUCAGAGGAGGUGGAAUUCCGCGUGUAGCAGUGAAAUGCGUAGAUGCGGAGGAACACCGAUGGCGAAGGCAGCCUCCUGGGAUAACACUGACGCUCAUGCACAGCGUGGGAGCAAGCAGAGUUAGAUACCUGGUAGUCCACGCCUAAGCGAUGUCAACUAGCUGUUGGGGCCUUCGGGCCUUGGUAGCGCAGCUAACGCGUGAGUUGACCGCCUGGGAGUACGGUCGCAAGAUUAAAAACUCAAAGGAAUUGACGGGGACCCGCACAAGCGGUGGAUGAUGUGGAUUAAUUCGAUGCAACGCGAAAAACCUUACCUACCCUUGACAUGUCUGGAAUCCCGAAGAGAUUUGGGAGUGCUCGCGAACCGGAGCACAGGUGCUGCAUGGCUGUCGUCAGCUCGUGUCGUGAGAUGUUGGGUUAAGUCCCGCAACAGGCACCAGCCCUUGUCAUUAGUUGCUACGAAAGGGCACUCUAAUGAAACUGCCGGUGACAAACCGGAGGAAGGUGGAGAGCGUCAAGUCCUCAUGGCCCUUAUGGGUAGGGCUUCACACGUCAUACAAUGGUCGGGACAGGGUCGCCAACCCGCGAGAGGCCAAUCCCAGAAACGAUCGUAGUCCGGAUCAUGAUCUACUCGACUGCGUGAAGUCGGAAUCGCUAGUAAUCGCGGAUUGGCAUGUCGCGGUGAAUACGUUCCCGGGUCUUGUACACACCGCCCGUCACACCAUGGGAGUGGGUUUUACCAGUAGUUAGCCUAACCGUAAGGAGGGCGAUUACCACGGUAGAGUUCAUGACUGGGGUGGUAGUAACAAGGUAA
Molecule: ribosomal RNA, 1442 nt
Filed under: uncultured Bordetella sp.
Lineage: Bacteria; Pseudomonadati; Pseudomonadota; Betaproteobacteria; Burkholderiales; Alcaligenaceae
Description: partial 16S-23S ribosomal RNA intergenic spacer
Rfam family: Bacterial small subunit ribosomal RNA
Source: RNAcentral